RNAcentral lists this unclassified non-coding RNA (269 nucleotides) under Hevea brasiliensis (rubber tree). Lineage: Eukaryota; Viridiplantae; Streptophyta; Magnoliopsida; Malpighiales; Euphorbiaceae. The record is from RNAcentral.
GCAAAAGAGGCAACGUUCGAGGCAUGUCAUAUAUCUCCUCGAAGGCAUCAUAAAAACUACGUUUUUGGUGGUUGCUGAUAAAAUCAUCAUCUUCAGCAGCAGCAGCAGCAGCAUAAUUUGUUCCUGUAGAGAGCCAUGGAUGAACCAUACCCUGAUUCAUGAUUAUCAAUUGGCGUGAGCUACGAGCAGCAUCCUUAUUAGGGUCGAAAACAUAGCUAUUUAGGUCCAAACCCUUGAUGGUAUCCGUUGGAAGAGCGAGACCCAGUUGA